Molecule: ribosomal RNA, 392 nt
Filed under: uncultured bacterium
Lineage: Bacteria
Description: bacterial SSU rRNA
Rfam family: Bacterial small subunit ribosomal RNA
Source: RNAcentral
AUUGAACGCUGGCGGCAUGCCUUACACAUGCAAGUCGUACGGCAGCACGGGGCAACCUGGUGGCGAGUGGCGAACGGGUGAGUAAUGCAUCGGAACGUGCCAUUGAGUGGGGGAUAACGUAGCGAAAGUUGCGCUAAUACCGCAUAUUCUGUGAGCAGGAAAGCAGGGGACCGCAAGGCCUUGCGCUCUUUGAGCGGCCGAUGUCAGAUUAGCUAGUUGGUGAGGUAACGGCUUACCAAGGCGACGAUCUGUAGCGGGUCUGAGAGGAUGAUCCGCCACACUGGAACUGAGACACGGUCCAGACUCCUACGGGAGGCAGCAGUGGGGAAUUUUGGACAAUGGGCGCAAGCCUGAUCCAGCCAUGCCGCGUGAGUGAAGAAGGCCUUCGGGUU